RNAcentral lists this ribosomal RNA (645 nucleotides) under Triticum aestivum (bread wheat). RNAcentral's name for it is "partial small subunit ribosomal RNA". The record is from RNAcentral. Lineage: Eukaryota; Viridiplantae; Streptophyta; Magnoliopsida; Poales; Poaceae.
AUGCAAUGCCACUCCAAAACUUAUGGAGGACACCGCGCAGGAGAUAGAACUGCACAUAAGGUAUUGCAAUCCGGUUUUUAUUGGCCUACUCUCUUCAAGGAUGCCCGUAAGUUUGUCCUAUCUUGUGAUGAAUGUCAAAGAAUUGGUAAUAUUAGUAGACGUCAAGAAAUGCCUAUGAAUUAUUCACUUGUUAUUGAACCAUUUGAUGUUUGGGGCUUUGAUUAUAUGGGACCUUUUCCUUCCUCUAAUGGAUAUACACAUAUUUUAGUUGUUGUUGAUUACAUUACUAAGUGGGUAGAAGCUAUUCCAACUAGUAGUGCUGAUCAUAACAUUUCUAUUAAAAUGCUUAAAGAAGUUAUUUUUCCGAGGUUUGGAGUCCCUAGAUAUUUAAUGACUGAUGGUGGUUCACAUUUUAUUCAUGGUGCUUUCCGUAAAAUGCUUGCUAAAUAUGACGUCAAUCAUAGAAUUGCAUCUCCGUAUCACCCACAGUCUAGUGGUCAAGUAGAAUUGAGUAAUAGAGAACUCAAAUUAAUUUUGCAAAAGACUGUCAAUAGGUCUAGAAAGAAUUGGUCCAAGAAACUUGAUGAUGCAUUAUGGGCCUAUAGAACUGCAUAUAAAAAUCAUAUGGGUAUGUCUCCGUAUAAA